Molecule: RNA transcript, 1148 nt
Organism: Brachypodium distachyon (stiff brome)
Lineage: Eukaryota; Viridiplantae; Streptophyta; Magnoliopsida; Poales; Poaceae
Gene name: mitochondrial import inner membrane translocase subunit TIM14-3
Exons: 5
Source: RefSeq, a predicted model, not a curated record
GAAGCGCGACAAAAUUAAAGAGAAAAGGAGACCACGAAACCAACCGCUCCACCUCCUCCUUCCCUCAUCUCUUACUUGCUGCACAAGAACACGCGGUCGCCUUAUCUACCGCCCCCGUCCACCGGCAGUCAAUCGCGCAGCCCCCGCUCGAAUCCCCGCUAGCUCGUCGACGGAUUAUUUGGUCCGGCCGUCUCGCCCCAGCGGUUCCAUCCGACAGCGUCGGUACACUAUGGCUACGCCACUGGUAGCUGGGUUAUCGGUGGCUGCUGCUGCACUGGGAAGCAGAUAUAUGAUUCAGGCAUGGCAAGCCUUCCGGAUCCGCGCGGCAAUGCCGAGGGUGCGUCGAUUCUAUCCUGGUGGAUUUGAGCCAGCGAUGAGCAGAAGAGAGGCGGCAUUGAUCCUUGGCGUAAGAGAACGUGCUGCACUGGACAAGAUCAAGGAGGCCCACAAGAGAGUAAUGGUGGCCAACCACCCUGAUGGCGGCGGGAGCCAUUACGUUGCUUCUAAGAUAAACGAGGCCAAGGACAUGCUCAUGGGAAAAGGGAAAUCUGGUUCCGUUUUUUAGCCUAUGCAAAACAAGUUGAAGUAUUUUUGCAAUCAUCACGAUGAGAUAGACUGCAAGGAGUACUAAUAUUUGAUGAAGAAGGCAUUAAGGCAGUCCUAAAUCUUAAGGGACUGCUCGCGGAAAGUUACAUCCGGCCAACCUGAAAGGGAUAAUUCUGUCCGUGAAUCGUGAAUGCGAUGGCUGGAGUUGAUUGUGGCUGCUUGACCUCAUGGAUCCUAUCGCAUUUUAGCCGGGCUCUAGGGCAUGUGUCUUGGAUAUUCCUUUCUGUCCAGGACUAAGUUCAAAUGUUAAUUGCAUAUGCUGUAUGCUACUGUUAUGUUGCAGCAGUUGUUACUUUUGACCUAACAGUAGGACUUUAGCUGUCAGCAACAAAUAGGGAUCUUAAAUGUUAUGAACCAUUCCAACUCAUAUCAGUUGUGUAAGUCCGGGUUCAUCAUAUGUAGUCCUGUUGCCACCUUGACAACAUAGCUGUGUUCUAGACUGCAUAUGGAGGUGUUUCCAGUAUCCAUAAUGAUGUUGCUAAUACUACAAUCUUUGUAUGAAUUAUUAGGCACAAAAAGUAGUUUUUGUCUGUUGGUACUGA